AUGAGCAGCCCCAUGGAGGAAGCUCACCAUGGCAUGCCGUCGACGACGACGGCGUUCUUCCCGCUGGCAGGGCUCCACAAGUUCAUGGCCAUCUUCCUCGUGUUCCUCUCGUGGAUCUUGGUCCACUGGUGGAGCCUGAGGAAGCAGAAGGGGCCGAGGUCAUGGCCGGUCAUCGGCGCGACGCUGGAGCAGCUGAGGAACUACUACCGGAUGCACGACUGGCUCGUGGAGUACCUGUCCAAGCACCGGACGGUCACCGUCGACAUGCCCUUCACCUCCUACACCUACAUCGCCGACCCGGUGAACGUCGAGCAUGUGCUCAAGACCAACUUCAACAAUUACCCCAAGGGGGAGGUGUACAGGUCCUACAUGGACGUGCUGCUCGGCGACGGCAUCUUCAACGCCGACGGCGAGCUCUGGAGGAAGCAGAGGAAGACGGCGAGCUUCGAGUUCGCUUCCAAGAACCUGAGAGACUUUAGCACGAUCGUGUUCAGGGAGUACUCCCUGAAGCUGCGCAGCAUCCUGAGCCAGGCUUGCAAGGCCGGCAAAGUCGUGGACAUGCAGGAGCUGUACAUGAGGAUGACGCUGGACUCGAUCUGCAAGGUGGGGUUCGGGGUCGAGAUCGGCACGCUGUCGCCGGAGCUGCCGGAGAACAGCUUCGCGCAGGCGUUCGACGCCGCCAACAUCAUCGUGACGCUGCGGUUCAUCGACCCGCUGUGGCGCGUGAAGAAGUUCCUGCACGUCGGCUCGGAGGCGCUGCUGGAGCAGAGCAUCAAGCUCGUCGACGAGUUCACCUACAGCGUCAUCCGCCGGCGCAAGGCCGAGAUCGUGCAGGCCCGGGCCAGCGGCAAGCAGGAGAAGAUCAAGCACGACAUACUGUCGCGGUUCAUCGAGCUGGGCGAGGCCGGCGGGGACGACGGCGGCAGCCUGUUCGGGGACGACAAGGGCCUCCGCGACGUGGUGCUCAACUUCGUGAUCGCCGGGCGGGACACCACGGCCACGACGCUCUCCUGGUUCACCUACAUGGCCAUGACGCACCCGGCCGUGGCCGAGAAGCUCCGCCGCGAGCUGGCCGCCUUCGAGGCGGACCGCGCCCGCGAGGAUGGCGUCGCGCUGGUCCCCUGCAGCGACUCAGACGGCGACGGCUCCGACGAGGCCUUCGCCGCCCGCGUGGCGCAGUUCGCGGGGCUGCUGAGCUACGACGGGCUCGGGAAGCUGGUGUACCUCCACGCGUGCGUGACGGAGACGCUGCGCCUGUACCCGGCGGUGCCGCAGGACCCCAAGGGCAUCGCGGAGGACGACGUGCUCCCGGACGGCACCAAGGUGCGCGCCGGCGGGAUGGUGACGUACGUGCCCUACUCCAUGGGGCGGAUGGAGUACAACUGGGGCCCCGACGCCGCCAGCUUCCGGCCGGAGCGGUGGAUCGGCGACGACGGCGCGUUCCGCAACGCGUCGCCGUUCAAGUUCACGGCGUUCCAGGCGGGGCCGCGGAUCUGCCUCGGCAAGGACUCGGCGUACCUGCAGAUGAAGAUGGCGCUGGCCAUCCUGUGCAGGUUCUUCAGGUUCGAGCUCGUGGAGGGCCACCCCGUCAAGUACCGCAUGAUGACCAUCCUCUCCAUGGCGCACGGCCUCAAGGUCCGCGUCUCCAGGGCGCCGCUCGCCUGA
RNAcentral lists this ribosomal RNA (1665 nucleotides) under Triticum aestivum (bread wheat). RNAcentral describes it as "partial small subunit ribosomal RNA". Lineage: Eukaryota; Viridiplantae; Streptophyta; Magnoliopsida; Poales; Poaceae. The record is from RNAcentral.